AGAGUUUGAUCAUGGCUCAGAUUGAACGCUGGCGGCAGGCCUAACACAUGCAAGUCGAGCGGUAGCACAGAGAGCUUGCUCUCGGGUGACGAGCGGCGGACGGGUGAGUAAUGUCUGGGAAACUGCCUGAUGGAGGGGGAUAACUACUGGAAACGGUAGCUAAUACCGCAUAACGUCGCAAGACCAAAGUGGGGGACCUUCGGGCCUCAUGCCAUCAGAUGUGCCCAGAUGGGAUUAGCUAGUAGGUGGGGUAACGGCUCACCUAGGCGACGAUCCCUAGCUGGUCUGAGAGGAUGACCAGCCACACUGGAACUGAGACACGGUCCAGACUCCUACGGGAGGCAGCAGUGGGGAAUAUUGCACAAUGGGCGCAAGCCUGAUGCAGCCAUGCCGCGUGUGUGAAGAAGGCCUUCGGGUUGUAAAGCACUUUCAGCGGGGAGGAAGGCGUUAAGGUUAAUAACCUUGGCGAUUGACGUUACCCGCAGAAGAAGCACCGGCUAACUCCGUGCCAGCAGCCGCGGUAAUACGGAGGGUGCAAGCGUUAAUCGGAAUUACUGGGCGUAAAGCGCACGCAGGCGGUCUGUCAAGUCGGAUGUGAAAUCCCCGGGCUCAACCUGGGAACUGCAUUCGAAACUGGCAGGCUAGAGUCUUGUAGAGGGGGGUAGAAUUCCAGGUGUAGCGGUGAAAUGCGUAGAGAUCUGGAGGAAUACCGGUGGCGAAGGCGGCCCCCUGGACAAAGACUGACGCUCAGGUGCGAAAGCGUGGGGAGCAAACAGGAUUAGAUACCCUGGUAGUCCACGCCGUAAACGAUGUCGAUUUGGAGGUUGUGCCCUUGAGGCGUGGCUUCCGGAGCUAACGCGUUAAAUCGACCGCCUGGGGAGUACGGCCGCAAGGUUAAAACUCAAAUGAAUUGACGGGGGCCCGCACAAGCGGUGGAGCAUGUGGUUUAAUUCGAUGCAACGCGAAGAACCUUACCUGGUCUUGACAUCCACAGAACUUUCCAGAGAUGGAUUGGUGCCUUCGGGAACUGUGAGACAGGUGCUGCAUGGCUGUCGUCAGCUCGUGUUGUGAAAUGUUGGGUUAAGUCCCGCAACGAGCGCAACCCUUAUCCUUUGUUGCCAGCGGUUCGGCCGGGAACUCAAAGGAGACUGCCAGUGAUAAACUGGAGGAAGGUGGGGAUGACGUCAAGUCAUCAUGGCCCUUACGACCAGGGCUACACACGUGCUACAAUGGCAUAUACAAAAGAGAAGCGACCUCGCGAGAGCAAGCGGACCUCAUAAAGUAUGUCGUAGUCCGGAUUGGAGUCUGCAACUCGACUCCAUGAAGUCGGAAUCGCUAGUAAUCGUAGAUCAGAAUGCUACGGUGAAUACGUUCCCGGGCCUUGUACACACCGCCCGUCACACCAUGGGAGUGGGUUGCAAAAGAAGUAGGUAGCUUAACCUUCGGGAGGGCGCUUACCACUUUGUGAUUCAUGACUGGGGUGAAGUCGUAACAAGGUAACCGUAGGGGAACCUGCGGUUGGAUCACCU
RNAcentral lists this ribosomal RNA (1529 nucleotides) under Klebsiella pneumoniae. RNAcentral's name for it is "bacterial SSU rRNA". It matches the Rfam family "Bacterial small subunit ribosomal RNA". Lineage: Bacteria; Pseudomonadati; Pseudomonadota; Gammaproteobacteria; Enterobacterales; Enterobacteriaceae. The record is from RNAcentral.